This is a long non-coding RNA of Gossypium arboreum, 2661 nucleotides long. RefSeq lists it as uncharacterized. The transcript has 3 exons. Lineage: Eukaryota; Viridiplantae; Streptophyta; Magnoliopsida; Malvales; Malvaceae. The record is from RefSeq and is a predicted model, not a curated record.
CAAUCUCAUUUCAUCACUAUUUAACUGCAGCAAUUCAUGGCCAUGGAUGCACACUUCCUCCUUUUUCAGUGCUCCGGCUGCCUAGAGUUAGAAUCGCCUUCAUCACUCAUUUUUUCUUUUCGAUAAAAAUUCAAUGGAAUCAAACUUUUUUCCACUUUCAUUGUUUUUUUUUUUGUUUUUUUGAAGUACUGGUUUUUACUUCUUUCAGAAAAAUAUGUUUAAAAAAUAGAGGGCGAUGAAGAAGUUAUAUCAAGGUUCGCUCGUCGUACGUAAUGGCAAAAAAUUUCCUUGUCGAUUAUUUCUUAAUGCUAUGAGCCCUCUCUAUUUGUUAUUAUGUGCCUUGCUCACGCAAGUUUUUCCGUGUUUGUUUUUAUUUCGAUUUUAACUUGAUGAUGAUGAAAACAUCAAAGGUUCGCUCGUCCUACAAAAUGGCUUAUUUGUCUUGUUGAUUCAUUCGUCUUGAUGAUCUGAAUCCUUUUUUAUCGACAUUUUUACCUUAUGCCUCCACAUUUAAAGAAAUCAAAAUUGACAAUCAAGUCUAUUUUUGCUGAGAAAAUUAUUUAGAAUAUAUGUUUAACCUACGGAUCAAACUAAAAUGGGUAUGAAGUUUUUUUUGUUGGCAGGUUAAGGUUUAAAAUUCAAGUCUUUACAAUUAAUUUGUAAGGUCCUCAAAGAUCACGUGUGGUAGACAAAGGCCAUUUUGGUGAUUUCGUUCUUUCUAGUUUAUUUAUUACUGUGGUCUACAUCUCAUUUUUCUUUCAUAAAACAUUAAAAACUUAUUUGAAAAUUUUUAACAUUUAAUAUUUUAAAUGUAUUUCAUAAUUAUUUUAAUUUUUAGUUAAUAUAAAUUUUUAACAAUUGAAUAACAUAAAUAGGUAAAUUAACUACUUAUACUUUAUGUAAAAAUAUUAAAUGAAUUUUAUUUUAUUAAAAUUAAAAUAAAUUAUCUUUUUAUUAAAAAUUGAGAUAUUUAAAUUAGCAUAUUUAUUAAUCAAUUUUUUAAAGAAGGUAUGGCAAUUAGUUUUGCAACUUUGCUCCAUUCGUAGGAUGUAAAAAUUUUGAACCAAGAGUUAACUUGGGCAAUUUUGAAACUUAAAAAGUCUUUGCUUGUUGCUAUACUCAAGCUUACUUGGACUGCAUAUUUGUAUGUGAUAUGGAGACAGAAGAACAAGAGGUAUUUUGACACAUCUUUCUUGACUGAAGAUGUUAUCUUUGGUGCAGAUUAAAGAGAUUGUGCGAGUUCGUCUAGGAGAAAGACCAAUCAAUAGAACUAAUCUUAUUAAUGCUUCAUUUUGUGCUUCUUGAGAAUAUCAUUGGUUAAUUUGUUUGUAUAGCUUAAAAUUACUGCACAAUAUUUUUUUUCUUUUGUAACAAUUUAACUGCUUACUUAGAUUAAUGAAUUUCAUCAUUCAUAAAAAAGAAAAAAAGAAGAAGAAAUAUUGUUAUGGUAACAUAAUUUUACAAAAGUUCAAUGGCUUUGGGAGAAACUAUAUAAUUUUAGAGAUGAAAUGAAUUGGCUAUCAAAAUUCAGCUCCCAAGGAUGAUUUAAGAAAAGAAAAGAAAGUGCUGGUGGAAAGCAACAUCACAGGUGGACUAACUAAAGCAAGAGAAGUACUACUACAUUUACAACAUACAGAAGUAGAGUUGGCGUCUGAAACCCCUUUACACGGGCACAUCGCUUCGGAAACAGAUGUAAUAUACAUCAGUGCCUGCGCACGUUUGUUAUACAUUCUCUUUCACUAGCUAUUACUAUUAGUAUUGAAGUUCAUUAACCCUCAGUUUUACCCAUCAGCCACAUACCCAAAACCUAAAACCAUGGUGGGAAGGGAUAGCUUGCUUAUGCAGUCGCAGAAGCAUUGCGAGAGGAACCCCCUUGAUUGACCAAGAAUCGGACCACCACGCAAGUGAUAUUAUCUGCGCUACCUCUCUGGUAUGCCUCUUGCAUCAGCUGCUUUGCUGCCUGCUCUGGAUCCUGUAUUGGCUUUAUCAUUGCCACUGCCUCCUGGUCAAAGGCAAAGCAGCAGUUUAUUAGCUACGCUUCAUUUCUUCGAUUAGAACAAAAAAAGGGAACUCAGCAUAUUUCAACCAAGUCUUCUAACCAGACCUGAAUUUCUGGAUCAGCAACAACAUACUGCUUCAAGUGUCUGUCACCAAAUGCACGAGAAACAGCAAGAACACCUCCCACUCUCCAAGUUCCUACAGAUAUAAUUUCAGUUGCAAGCAUUUUAACACAUCAUAGCAGAAGCUUAAACAGAAAAAGGAGAGGAUGGUAAGACAGGAAAGAGAAAUGGAGAAAUGUAAAUCCACACCAGCCCACAUGACGAAUCCUCCUGCGUUCUCAAUCCGUUGUCGCUCAUCACUUUGAUCAGGCUUGUGAUCACGAGACACAGCAAUAGCUGAAAGAGGAAAUGCAAUAGAUAAGCCAUGUAUAAAAGAUCAAUUCAGCAAUCAAAUAAUAAUUUAACCAAGAUUUUCAAAAAAAAUCACGAAAUUUACAAACAAACAAAAAAAAAGGGCGAGCGAGCAAUUACAUAAGAUUGUUAAGUUAUACAGAAACAUAUGUAAGCCUUGUGAGCUUUCAUAUUACAAGUAAAACAAAAGGCAACUUCAUAUGGAUUGUCAUAGAUGGGAUCAGAAUAGAAAAGAAAAAAAAAAAAAAAG